GAUAGUGAGAGGAGCUGAGACAGUAGCAGAGCGAACCAGAGGCAGGGACGAGGCGGUGAAGGAGCAGCUCUCCUCCUGAGCCUCCAUCCCAGAGAAGACAGAGCGGCAGCAGAGUCCCUCCUCGGCUCAACGCUUCAUCCCCCUGCAGCUUCUGAAGUUCACACCGAGACGCCCGUCGUGAGGUCAAAAGAACACGAUGUACUGAGAGUGUGAGCUGUGACUGAACCUGCCAAGACUGACUGUCCUGAACACACAGCAGGGGAGGAGAAAGAGGUUGGAAGGAUGGAGGGGGGGGGGUUGCUGCUGCUGCUCAUCCGAGGCGAAGAGAAGAGCCAAAAGGAGGCAGCAUCCUUAUCAAAGGCCCGGGUGCUGAGCCUCAGUUAAAAAUAGAAACCGGAGGAGAUUGGCAUCGAUUUCUGCAGGCGUUGACGGCCCGAUUGACAGCAGCACC
This is a long non-coding RNA of Amphiprion ocellaris (clown anemonefish), 451 nucleotides long. Lineage: Eukaryota; Metazoa; Chordata; Actinopteri; Pomacentridae. The record is from Ensembl.